Molecule: transfer RNA, 60 nt
Filed under: Goniobranchus leopardus
Lineage: Eukaryota; Metazoa; Mollusca; Gastropoda; Nudibranchia; Chromodorididae
Description: tRNA-Ser
Source: RNAcentral
UGGAGAUUUGUAACUUAGGCUGCUAACUUGAGUUCGGGAGACUUUAUCUUCCAUCUUCAU